This 490-nucleotide ribosomal RNA is filed under the name uncultured bacterium. RNAcentral's name for it is "partial 16S ribosomal RNA". It matches the Rfam family "Bacterial small subunit ribosomal RNA", at positions 29 to 507 of the family's 1533-position model. The record is from RNAcentral.
AGUGAACGCUGGCGGUAGGCCUAACACAUGCAAGUCGAACGGCAGCACAGGAGAGCUUGCUCUCUAGGUGGCGAGUGGCGGACGGGUGAGGAAUACAUCGGAAUCUGCCCAGUCGUGGGGGAUAACGUAGGGAAACUUACGCUAAUACCGCAUACGACCUUCGGGUGAAAGAGGGGGAUCGCAAGACCUCUCGCGAUUGGAUGAGCCGAUGUCGGAUUAGCUAGUUAGCGGGGUAAUGGCCCACCAAGGCGACGAUCCGUAGCUGGUCUGAGAGGAUGAUCAGCCACACUGGAACUGAGACACGGUCCAGACUCCUACGGGAGGCAGCAGUGGGGAAUAUUGGACAAUGGGCGCAAGCCUGAUCCAGCCAUACCGCGUGGGUGAAGAAGGCCUUCGGGUUGUAAAGCCCUUUUGUUGGGAAAGAAAUCUUUCAGGCUAAUACCCUGGGAGGAUGACGGUACCCAAAGAAUAAGCACCGGGUAACUUCGUG